AUGUGGGCUAAUGGGAGCAGACGGAUGCAGUACAGGUUCUUUGGCGACGUGGUCACAUUCGACACCACAUACAGGACAAAUUUGUACGACAUGCCAUUAUGUUUAUUUGUCGGAGUUAACAAUCACUACCAGAGUAUCAUCCUGGCUGGCGUGCUGAUGCGUGACGAGCAAGAAGAGAGCUUUGAAUGGGUGUUUUCAGAAUUCAUUCGCAUGAUGAGCGGACCUGCACCUAAAACAAUACUAACAGACCAAUGCAGGGCUAUGGAGGUUGCAAUCAAGAAAAUUUAUCCGAACACUGUCCACCGUUUGUGCAAGUGGCAUGUUCUGAAAAAGGCGAAAGAAACACUAGGGUGGCUUUACACAAAAAAAUGUGAUUUUCAAGCUGAAUUUCACAAAGUUGUUAACCACAUGCUAACUGAGGAAGAAUUUGAAUCAGCCUGGGAUGCGCUGCUUGAUAAAUACAAUUUGAGGGGGCAUAACUAUAUGACCCAACUAUAUGAGACAAGACAUAAAUGGGCGAAACCAUAUUUCAGAGGUGUGUUUUGUGCGAAAAUGACGAGUACACAGAGGAGUGAGAGUGCAAACCACAUGCUGAAAACGGACAUGCCCCCUGCAAGCCCAAUGCAUGUUUUCGUCUGA
Molecule: ribosomal RNA, 639 nt
Filed under: Triticum aestivum (bread wheat)
Lineage: Eukaryota; Viridiplantae; Streptophyta; Magnoliopsida; Poales; Poaceae
Description: partial small subunit ribosomal RNA
Source: RNAcentral